Phyllopteryx taeniolatus (common seadragon) is the source of this 3693-nucleotide long non-coding RNA. RefSeq lists it as uncharacterized. The record is from RefSeq and is a predicted model, not a curated record. The transcript has 3 exons. Lineage: Eukaryota; Metazoa; Chordata; Actinopteri; Syngnathiformes; Syngnathidae.
AUAGCUUCCACCUUAAAAGUCCAACUUACAGUGUGUUUAUUGUUACUGCUUCACCAUUCUGGCAGCGACGAUGGCGGAUAAUAACAACAUGCUACCACAUGGCGGAAUACACAGACGACUGGAGUUUAGAGGGCCAAACACCCAUCACACCUGGUGACUGGGUCCUCAUCAAAGUCAUAAAGCGGAAGUGCUGCUCUAGUCCAAGGUGGGACGGGCCUUUUCAAGUUCUGCUGACAACACCUACUGCUGUGCGGAUUGCAGAACGCCCCUCCAGGAUCCACUUGUCGCACUGCAAAAGGCAGGUACCACUGGCAAGCAGCUCACCUGGAGAAUGGAACAUUACGCACGUAUACCACACUAACGUCUGGUACAGAUAUGCCACCAUGAUUGCCCGAGUUAGAAAUCGGACAAAGUGUUAUGUAUGUACUAAAAUGCCUGUGUCAUCAACACACCCUAACCUUGAUGCAAUUUCACUGGAUGUAAACCUGACUGAGUGUGUCACAGAAUUUGCUUUAAAAGGAAGAUUAACAAAUAGAGCUGUACUUUCUCCCAACACAUUGCAAAAUGGGACAAUAAUAUGGCAUGAAGUUCGACCAUCGUGUGCCUCAAUGUAUGCGUUUCGACAGGUUAAUCUUACAUCCUCAAUAACUACUUAUGUACACACUGCGAAUAAUGACCAGUCUGCUGAAGGUAAAGACGAGAUUCGUACAACUUGCCCAGUAGGGUACAACUGUUCCCUUAGAGCGUAUCAAGAUCAUCCUGCAAACAAAACCACUUGCGCUAUUGAUAAGUAUUAUUGGGAUUGCGGACACAAACUGUAUUUGCGCCUGCCAGCAUGCUGGGGAGGCGUUUGCACACCAGUGUGCAUACAAGAUCAUACAUACAUCUUGUCGGCAGCAAGCCAAAUUGAUAUGCAGUAGCGGAAAAAACGAGACAUCAAAAUGUCAGGAUUAUUUUAACCAACACGUUCACACCAAGGAAGGAGACAGAAGUAAGAAUCACAACACGUGUUAAGUAACUUUGCAAAGUGAGAGCAACUACAAGAACAAGCAUCGCGCUUAUCUCUCCCAACUCCUCUGAGGUGCCUGUCCUUGCGCAGCUCUUUUUAUUAAGGCUUGAGUAGGUGUUAUCACAUUACAUGACCUUUUAAGGAAUUGUUUGUUGUCAGUGCCUGGAGGUGUGGGGGUUUAUUGCCUUGUGGAAUGUGCAUUGUAGUACUUUUCCAAAUGCUCUUGUUUCCAGUGAACAAGGGUGCUAUCAUCUUAAUGCAGUUACACCAACACUGUAUUUUUAUGCAAUAACAUAUAAUUUUUUUCCAUCAUUUCCCUCCUGUUUAUCAAAUAAAAAUACAUUACUCAUCAUACUGUCACAUUUCACAAUGAUUUUCAUGACAAUAACCAUAACAUGUAUUUCAUCAUUGAUGUACUUCAAGCUCUUGUCUCGCAAUCAUCAUAUUGUUCUUCUUUCAACAAAGUCAUAUAUUCAUCACUCAAGAUCAAUCCGGUGACAGUGCCAUGUACCAUUUUGGACAUCAUGUUAUGAAAGCAUGGCAAAAUACAUCCAUUAAAUAGACAAAACAACUAUGAUUUAUAAUUUUCACAAAUACACUUGUCCAUCUACCAGAUGUAAACCAUGUCAAGGUGUUCAAACCUUUGUUCACAUAAUCUUGUGAUUUAGCAUUUCUUAUAGUUCACAUUCUUUGUAUGGCUUCAGCAAUUACAUUUUCAGGAAUAUAUGUACAACAUGUUUCAUUGAUCAUGGCGCAAACUCCUCCUUAUGCCGCAGUUAAUAUCCAGAACUAUUCAAUUUUCUAAAACCAUUAUCCCCAUGAAAGGUCAUUUCCUCAUUAUUUGUUUCCCAUGCUUUAAUGCUCGUAUUUAUAAAAAUAGACAUUGCAUCUCGUGUAGGGUGCAUUGAGGAAGCAGGCAUCUUUGUACAUACGUAACAACUGGAUCAAUUUAUUUUAUUUUAUUUUUUACUUUUACAAUCAUUUAAACGUACCUGUACCAUGUAUUCGUUAAAUAUAUAUGUGAUACAUUCCAACCUUCAUGGAGUAUGUCAUGAUGUUCUUUCAACACAAAUCGUGGUCUUUUGGCAAUAAUAUCAAUACCAUUUUCUUCCCUUCUAUGAAAAAGCCAUAUCAGUGGUGGAAUCAUUAACACCACACAACAAUACUACACGUAAUAUUGCUCUUGGCAUGCAGUCAAUGCGAUGUCGCAUGGUCUUUUCAAUUCCUGGUUUCUUCUUAAGUCAGAAAGCAAUCAUGUUUCUAUCUCCUGAGAGGGGGAGGUGACUAACACGUCAGCUCUCUGUUUGUAUCUAACAGUUUUCUUGUCCCGUUCUUGACCAUUUGUGUGCAUUAUUCUGCUUCUGUGCCACUUCUCAUUCUCGCCCCUUCAGGAACGACAAAAGAAGGACGGCCCACGAUGGUUUGGAUCGCACUUUACCCUCCUGUUGAUGCAGGAGGGGCACUGGAUACCCUCUCAGUCACUUCCUUCUCGAUGCUCAGGUCGUGCAACCUCACAGCUCCUAAGAAGUUGAGGGAGUUUUAGAGCGCAAGCCCCCCUCUUCACUUACGUUGAGACGGAUAGGCUCUAUAUGCCUAACCCCCUUUGUAGUCAGACUCCGCCCCAUCGAAACCGCAUCCGUUUUUUUUUUGUGUGCCGCACACUUGCACACUGCUAUUGCUUCAGGAAGUAACACUGCUUCAAGCAAUAAACUGAGAAGCUCUUUCCGGCUGACGUUGUCAUUCCUCUAUUCUUCCAUUGUGCAGCAAAUACAUGAGAACAACUGAGACUGUAUGUGGACCUUUGAGUGUCAGCUGGUGAAACAACACAAUAUCCGCUGAUUCCUGCACGGCCAUUGCAGCUGCAACUACAGCCUGCACACAAAUUGGCGUUGUUCGUGCAACUGCAUCAAGCCUAGUUGAAUAGUAUGCUACUGGCCUGAGUUUUGCUCCAUGUUUUUGCAACAAAACUGAGGUCGUGUGACCGUUUCGAAAAUCAACUGUCUGUUCAAAUGGGUUUUCCAUCCAUCCAUCCAUCCAUUUUCUGAGCCGCUUCUCCUCACUAGGGUCGCGGGCGUGCUGGAGCCUAUCCCAGCUAUCAUCGGGCAGGAGGCAUACAAACAAACAACAUUCGCACUCACAUUCACACCUACGGGCAAUUUAGAGUCCCCAAUUAAUGCAUGUUUUUGGGAAGUGGGAGGAAACCGGAGUGCCCGGAGAAAACCCACGCAGCCACGGGGAGAACAUGCAAAGUCCACACAGGCGGGACCGGGGAUUGAACCCCGCUCCUCAGAACUGUGAGGCUGACGCUCUAACCAGUCGUCCACCGUGCCGCCCAAACGGGUUUUCAUAAUUUGGUAAUGCCAAUACUGCUGUUCCUGCCAAAAUUAUUUUCAAUUCACAAAAUACUCUCUCUCCUUCCUCUGUCCAUUGAAUUUUGUCUGACAUUGUCAUUGGUGUUCAAUUAAUCUAAUUUUGCAACGGUGUUGUUAUCUCUGCGUAAUUAGCUACCCAACUCCUACACUAAUUGCACAGCCCCAAAAAAGACAUCAUCUGUUGUUUUGUUUCAGGUUGUGGAGCUGACAACAUGGCUUCUUUUCUCAUUGGGUCCACAUGACGACUGCUUGUCGUCAACAUAUAACCUAAAUAUUUCACUUCUGUCACACAAAAUUGUAAUUUAGCUUUGU